Molecule: ribosomal RNA, 535 nt
Filed under: Trichophyton violaceum
Lineage: Eukaryota; Fungi; Ascomycota; Eurotiomycetes; Onygenales; Arthrodermataceae
Description: eukaryotic LSU rRNA
Rfam family: Eukaryotic large subunit ribosomal RNA
Source: RNAcentral
GGAAAAGAAACCAACAGGGAUUGCCCCAGUAACGGCGAGUGAAGCGGCAAGAGCUCAAAUUUGAAAUCUGGCCUCCCCCGGGGGUCCGAGUUGUAAUUUGCAGAGGAUGCUUCGGGCGCGGCCCCCGUCUAAGUUCCUUGGAACAGGACGUCAGAGAGGGUGAGAAUCCCGUCUUGGGCGGGCGGCCCGCGCCCGUGUGAAGCUCCUUCGACGAGUCGAGUUGUUUGGGAAUGCAGCUCUAAGCGGGUGGUAAAUUUCAUCUAAAGCUAAAUACCGGCCGGAGACCGAUAGCGCACAAGUAGAGUGAUCGAAAGGUUAAAAGCACCUUGAAAAGGGAGUUAAACAGCACGUGAAAUUGUUGAAAGGGAAGCGUUUGCGGCCAGACUCGGGGGGCGGGGUUCAGCGGGCGCUCGUCGCCCGUGCACUGCCCGCUCCCCGGGCCAGCAUCAGCUUCGACGGCCGGUCAAAGGCCCCCGGAAUGUGUCGUCUCUAGGGACGUCUUAUAGCCGGGGGUGCAAUGCGGCCCGUCGAGACU